Saccostrea echinata is the source of this 444-nucleotide long non-coding RNA. RefSeq lists it as uncharacterized. The record is from RefSeq and is a predicted model, not a curated record. Lineage: Eukaryota; Metazoa; Mollusca; Bivalvia; Ostreida; Ostreidae. The transcript is spliced from 2 exons.
CCCCAGGGGUCAUGAUUUGAACAAUUUAGAAUCUACACUAUCCCAGAAUGCUUCCACAUAAGUUUCAGCUUUUCUGGCCCAGUGGUUCUUCAGAAGAAGAUUUUUAAAGAUUUUUACUACAUAUUUCAAUGUAAAACUUGGAUUCCCUAUUGUGGCCUGCCCUACCCCCGGAGGUCAUGAUUUGAAAAAUUUAGAAUCUAUACUACCCCAGGAUGCUUCCACAUAAGUUUCAGCUUUUCUGGUCCAGUAGUUCUUGAGAAGAAGAUUUUUUAAUGACCCACCCAAUUUUGGUAUUUUCUUGAUUAUCUCCCCUUUGAAGGGGACUUGGCCCUUCAUUUUAACAAUUUAAACUCCCCUUCACCCAAGGAUGCUUUGUACCAAGUUCGGUUAAAAUUGGCCCAGUGGUUCUUCAGAAGAAGUCGAAAAUGUGAAAAGUUUACAGAC